GCGGAGAUGCUGGAAUCGGCAGACAGGCAUGUUUGAGGGGCAUGUGUGAGUCAUCACGUGAGGGUUCAAGUCCCUUUCUCCGCACCA
Molecule: transfer RNA, 87 nt
Filed under: Aedoeadaptatus ivorii
Lineage: Bacteria; Bacillati; Bacillota; Tissierellia; Tissierellales; Peptoniphilaceae
Also listed under: 7 other names
Description: Peptoniphilus ivorii tRNA-Leu(gag)
Rfam family: tRNA
About the family: Transfer RNA (tRNA) molecules are approximately 80 nucleotides in length. Their secondary structure includes four short double-helical elements and three loops (D, anti-codon, and T loops).
Source: RNAcentral